GGUAAAAUGGCCGAAGUAGGCGUAGGGUUGUAGCCCUUAUAAUAAAGGUUAAAGUCCUUUUUUUAUCA
RNAcentral lists this transfer RNA (68 nucleotides) under Salamandra salamandra (fire salamander). RNAcentral's name for it is "tRNA-Tyr". It matches the Rfam family "tRNA". Rfam says of the family: Transfer RNA (tRNA) molecules are approximately 80 nucleotides in length. The record is from RNAcentral. Lineage: Eukaryota; Metazoa; Chordata; Amphibia; Caudata; Salamandridae. RNAcentral also lists the same sequence under 1 other name.